AUGCUCAUCGACGACUACUACAACAACAUGAAGAAGAAGAUUACCGACGACGAGCACAAGCGCUGGACCAUCCUGCCUCUGUCCAUGAGGCACAUCGAGUACGCGGCAAAGGACGCCUACGCAGUGAUGGUGCCGGUAGCGGACACAUGUGUGUACGCAGAAGGUCUAGAGCUCACCAACACCGAGUGGCGCAGCAUGCUCGGGUGCCUGAUGAUACCCAACAGGGGUUUCAGCCGCCAUUUCUUCAUCGCCUCACAACCGCAGAUCUACAGGAAAGUUGGAAACUGCCAUCCACAGUAA
RNAcentral lists this ribosomal RNA (300 nucleotides) under Triticum aestivum (bread wheat). RNAcentral's name for it is "partial small subunit ribosomal RNA". The record is from RNAcentral. Lineage: Eukaryota; Viridiplantae; Streptophyta; Magnoliopsida; Poales; Poaceae.